Molecule: ribosomal RNA, 253 nt
Filed under: uncultured bacterium
Lineage: Bacteria
Description: partial 16S ribosomal RNA
Rfam family: Bacterial small subunit ribosomal RNA
Source: RNAcentral
GACAGAGGGGGCAAGCGUUGCUCGGAAUUACUGGGCGUAAAGGGCGCGUAGGCGGGAUGGCAAGUCGGUCGUGAAAUCCCUCGGCUCAACUGAGGAUCGUCGAUCGAUACUGCCGUUCUUGAGGAUUGCAGAGGAGACUGGAAUUCCCGGUGUAGCGGUGAAAUGUGUAGAGAUCGGGAGGAACACCGGUGGCGAAGGCGGGUCUCUGGGCAAUUCCUGACGCUGAGGCGCGAAAGCGUGGGGAGCAAACUGG